UACGUAGGGGGCAAGCGUUGUCCGGAAUCAUUGGGCGUAAAGCGCGUGUAGGCGGCUUGAUAAGUCCGGUGUGAAAUCUUGGGGCUCAACCCCAAGCCUGCAUCGGAUACUGUCUCGCUAGAGUUCGGGAGGGGAGAGCGGAAUUCCUAGUGUAGCGGUGAAAUGCGCAGAUAUGAGGAAGAACACCGGUGGCGAAGGCGGCUCUCUGGAACGAUACUGACGCUGAGACGCGAAAGCGUGGGGAGCGAACAGG
RNAcentral lists this ribosomal RNA (253 nucleotides) under uncultured bacterium. RNAcentral's name for it is "partial 16S ribosomal RNA". It matches the Rfam family "Bacterial small subunit ribosomal RNA", at positions 524 to 776 of the family's 1533-position model. The record is from RNAcentral.